GGGUCCGUAGCUCAGCAUGGAUAGAGCGCCUGCCUUCUAACUGAAAUGUUCAGAAAGAGAGCCGGAAGUCGAGGGAUCGAAGCCCUUCGGGCCCG
RNAcentral lists this transfer RNA (95 nucleotides) under Candidatus Nitrosocosmicus franklandianus. RNAcentral's name for it is "Candidatus Nitrosocosmicus franklandus tRNA". It matches the Rfam family "tRNA". From Rfam's summary of the family: Transfer RNA (tRNA) molecules are approximately 80 nucleotides in length. Their secondary structure includes four short double-helical elements and three loops (D, anti-codon, and T loops). Lineage: Archaea; Thermoproteati; Nitrososphaerota; Nitrososphaeria; Nitrososphaerales; Nitrososphaeraceae. The record is from Rfam by way of RNAcentral.